GACGAACGCUGGCGGCGUGCUUAACACAUGCAAGUCGAACGGAAAGGCCCUGCUUUUGUGGGGUGCUCGAGUGGCGAACGGGUGAGUAACACGUGAGUAACCUGCCCUUGCCUUUGGGAUAACUUCAGGAAACUGGGGCUAAUACCGGCUAGGAGCUCCUGCUGCAUGGUGGGGGUUGGAAAGUUUCGGCGGUUGGGGAUGGACUCGCGGCUUAUCAGCUUGUUGGUGGGGUAGUGGCUUACCAAGGCUUUGACGGGUAGCCGGCCUGAGAGGGUGACCGGCCACAUUGGGACUGAGAUACGGCCCAGACUCCUACGGGAGGCAGCAGAGGGGAAUAUUACACAAUGGGCGGAAGCCUGAUGCAGCAACGCCGCGUGCGGGAUGACGGCCUGCGGGUUGUAAACCGCUUUCGCCUGUGACGAAGCGUGAGUGACGGUAAUGGGUAAAGAAGCACCGGCUAACUACGUG
Molecule: ribosomal RNA, 468 nt
Filed under: uncultured bacterium
Lineage: Bacteria
Description: partial 16S ribosomal RNA
Rfam family: Bacterial small subunit ribosomal RNA
Source: RNAcentral